GAUGAACGCUGGCGGCGUGCCUAAUACAUGCAAGUCGAGCGAACAGACGAGGAGCUUGCUCCUCUGACGUUAGCGGCGGACGGGUGAGUAACACGUGGAUAACCUACCUAUAAGACUGGGAUAACUUCGAGAAACCGGAGCUAAUACCGGAUAAUAUAUUGAACCGCAUGGUUCAAUAGUGAAAGACGGUUUUGCUGUCACUUAUAGAUGGAUCCGCGCCGCAUUAGCUAGUUGGUAAGGUAACGGCUUACCAAGGCAACGAUGCGUAGCCGACCUGAGAGGGUGAUCGGCCACACUGGAACUGAGACACGGUCCAGACUCCUACGGGAGGCAGCAGUAGGGAAUCUUCCGCAAUGGGCGAAAGCUUGACGGAGCAACGCCGCGUGAGUGAUGAAGGUCUUCGGAUCGUAAAACUCUGUUAUUAGGGAAGAACAAAUGUGUAAGUAACUAUGCACGUCUUGACGGUACCUAAUCAGAAAGCCACGGCUAACUACGUG
Molecule: ribosomal RNA, 497 nt
Filed under: uncultured bacterium
Lineage: Bacteria
Description: partial 16S ribosomal RNA
Rfam family: Bacterial small subunit ribosomal RNA
Source: RNAcentral